GGAGAGAAGCCAUGGUUGUGUUUCCCGGGCUGACACCUCCUGCUGAGCAUCCUUCCCUGCAGGAAUGGCAGUCCUCUCGCGUUACUCUGGGCACGCGCCGCCGUGCUGCUGAUGGGACCAGACAGGAUCCGUCACUGUGCUGAUGUGUCUCCUCCACAAAAAAUCCUGAAUGACACCAGCGUCUGAGAGACAAGGAACAAAGGGAAAACAAAUAAAAUUAUCUGCUCUGUUUGGUCCCCUCUGGUCAUCUGUCAUCCCAGUCUGGCGUGGGGUCUGUGGAGGAGGGCUGGGGUUUGAGGGUUCUGGGCUGGGGAUAUGAGAGGGGUUUGCUUUGUUCACGUGAGACCAACAGGCCUGGCAGGCCAGCACGCUGCUUCUGCUGGACUCUGUGGAGUCUCUGUCUCUGUUUCAGCUUGGUGCUGAUGUCCAGACUCCCCUGAGUGCUGCCAUAACCAGACCCUUGCAGUGGGGCAGAGCUCGGCGUCGCUGGUGCGUCACAAGCGUCAGAAGGACCUCGCCAAGGUCGUGUGAGUGCCUCUCCCUGCCUCAAGGAGGCUGUUUGAAAGCUGCUCUCAGAUCAGUGAGGACCAACUGGGAUGGCUGUGCUCCUCUGCAAUGCAUGUGACAGAUGUGUCAGCUCUGGGCUAAUUCUCUCCAAAUGGUCCAUUUCUGUCUCCAAACACAGUGGCCAAAAGCAGAGCACCAGCCUUAUGAUGAAAAUCAGUCUUUAAGCAGCACUUUGGGACCUGCCCUAAUCAGAGUUUUGUGUGGCACCACUCUGAAGUGUGCUGGAACUGGAGGGAAGAGAGCAGAGAUGGGAAAGGACAGGCGCAUCCAAUCGAGGCUGGGUGUCCCGUGUGACUGCUGCUGAGCUGCAUCCUGUUUGGACCAGGGGACUUGGUGCUCCAUGGACCUGAAAGGAAGGUCAGGGGAUGUCACAUGAAGGUGCCUGGACUCCUGCCCAGCCUGG
Molecule: long non-coding RNA, 970 nt
Organism: Serinus canaria (Common canary)
Lineage: Eukaryota; Metazoa; Chordata; Aves; Passeriformes; Fringillidae
Exons: 4
Source: RefSeq, a predicted model, not a curated record